UACGUAGGGUGCAGGCGUUAAUCGGAAUUACUGGGCGUAAAGCGUGCGCAGGCGGUUUGCUAAGACAGGUGUGAAAUCCCCGGGCUUAACCUGGGAACUGCGCUUGUUACUGGCAGGCUGGAGUGUGGCAGAGGGGGGUAGAAUUCCACGUGUAGCAGUGAAAUGCGUAGAGAUGUGGAGGAAUACCGAUGGCGAAGGCAGCCCCCUGGGUUAACACUGACGCUCAUGCACGAAAGCGUGGGGAGCAAACAGG
RNAcentral lists this ribosomal RNA (253 nucleotides) under uncultured bacterium. RNAcentral's name for it is "partial 16S ribosomal RNA". It matches the Rfam family "Bacterial small subunit ribosomal RNA", at positions 524 to 776 of the family's 1533-position model. The record is from RNAcentral.